RNAcentral lists this ribosomal RNA (500 nucleotides) under uncultured bacterium. Its description in RNAcentral is "partial 16S ribosomal RNA". It matches the Rfam family "Bacterial small subunit ribosomal RNA", at positions 30 to 523 of the family's 1533-position model. The record is from RNAcentral.
AUUGAACGCUGGCGGCAUGCUUUACACAUGCAAGUCGAACGGCAGCACGGACUUCGGUCUGGUGGCGAGUGGCGAACGGGUGAGCAAUACAUCGGAACGUGCCCAGUUGUGGGGGAUAACUACUCGAAAGAGUAGCUAAUACCGCAUGAGAACUGAGGUUGAAAGCAGGGGAUCGUAAGACCUUGCGCAACUGGAGCGGCCGAUGGCAGAUUAGGUAGUUGGUGGGAUAAAAGCUUACCAAGCCGACGAUCUGUAGCUGGUCUGAGAGGACGAUCAGCAACGCUGGGACUGAGACACGGCCCAGACUCCUACGGGAGGCAGCAGUGGGGAAUUUUGGACAAUGGGCGAAAGCCUGAUCCAGCAAUGCCGCGUGCAGGAUGAAGGCCUUCGGGUUGUAAACUGCUUUUGUACGGAACGAAAAGCCCUGGGUUAAUACCCUGGGGUCAUGACGGUACCGUAAGAAUAAGCACCGGCUAACUACGUGCCAGCCGCCGCGGUAA